Molecule: transfer RNA, 74 nt
Filed under: Pseudomonadota bacterium
Lineage: Bacteria; Pseudomonadati; Pseudomonadota
Also listed under: 4 other names
Description: tRNA-Pro
Rfam family: tRNA
About the family: Transfer RNA (tRNA) molecules are approximately 80 nucleotides in length.
Source: RNAcentral
CAGGGUGUAGCUCAGCUUGGUAGAGCGUCUGGUUUGGGUCCAGAAGGCCGCAGGUUCAAAUCCUGUCACCCUGA